UUGCUGCUGUACAGAGACUAAAGGCUACACGGAGAUGGUCAGAAGCUGGAAAGACAGUUAGGAAGCCACUGAUGUCACACUUACGGGAGCAGCUGGGGCCCUGCGGGGGUAGCUUUGGUUAAGGGCAGAGAUAGAUGCUCUGGCUUUGCUGUUGGAGGCAGAGCCCACGUGACUUGUUGAUGCUGUGUACAGGCUAAGUGAGGGAAGGAGAAGAGAGGGAGAUUCAGGCUCCCGGCCUUUGGCCUAAGGGCCUGGGAGAAACCGUGGCACCAAUACCUGAGAUGAAGAAGACUUGAGAAGCAACGGUUUGUCAAGCAAAGUGAAGAUUCCCUUGGGUUCGAGGUGUCCAUCUUCUCUCUUCCUGACAACUUACUCCAUCCUUCGGUGCUUGGAGACCAGAAUAGGGUCAUUUAGAAGGGGCUGACAUAUGAAGAAAAUUGGGUGCCUACCUGCUAGAAUAUUCGAGGUGUACUGUGCAUACAGGAGCGAGCGGUUGCUAUUUGUGAAAACUAAACAUAACAACAAUAUCCAGAUACAAAACUAGACGGAUUCUGUAUGGCCAGUUGCCUCAUUGGAGAUGCAAGCAAUAGGAGGUCAUCAUUCUUACCAUUGAAAGAUGGAGUACUGUUGCUAACCUUUGCUGAGGACUUACCCUGGAUGGGAGCUAUUGCAAGCUCUUUAUUACUCAUGUAACCACCCUUAGCUCUCCAUCAGGCAUUACCCUAGUAUACCCAGUUAGAAACAAUGCAGUGGAGGUCCUGAGUGAUUUGCCUGAGAUCAAAGAGUCAGGGAAUAACAGAUGUUGGAUUUUCAGUCCCUGGAACACAGUGGCUCCAGAAUCCUGCAUUUCCACCCCUUCCUUUCGCCUUCUGACACAGCUUGGCCAUUGAGAGUCGGAACUUGGCCCUUCCAUCUACCCGUACAUGAGGUUCUCUCUGACUAUU
Molecule: non-coding RNA, 944 nt
Organism: Peromyscus maniculatus bairdii (prairie deer mouse)
Lineage: Eukaryota; Metazoa; Chordata; Mammalia; Rodentia; Cricetidae
Source: RefSeq, a predicted model, not a curated record